GCGAAGUGAGGCUGGUGCAAGUCUUGGCAUGGCUGUCCAAGGUUGCAUGUUGCGGAGAUUAACACCGAUUCUCAUGAAUAAAGAGACGGCGAAGGAGGAGUUCUUCCCUCAAGGACACUUCUGGGCUGGAACACAAACAAUUAACAGAAAGACGUGAGAUUCUUGACAUCUUCCUUUUUCCACAAGCUGCAGAGUGGCAGCGUUAUCCGCCAGCAUUCAAACAUGUUUGUAUACACACUCAGGGGGCACCUCUUCAUGCUGACUUUGCUGAUAGCAGAAAUAAAUUCAGAGACCCAUCAGUCAGAAAGAUAACUUGGGACUGAUGAAGCCCAGAGAUGUGUGAGCUGCCAUCCAUGGCUCAUCUGGCCCAUGACGGCCCCCAGGCGACAGCUGUCACCAGCAGAGCAGACCUCCUGCUCCUGGCUGCGGUUACCAUUGGGCUGAGGCCAGCUAAUGAGGACAUUAUCAGAUCAGUGUCUUCAGCCUGACACAAGCCUAGCCGCCAGCACAACUGAUUCGACCUUUUCCCACCUGCUCUCAAGAUGAACGACCAGGAGCUUCACACAAUAUAGUCACAGGAGAAGGGAGGUCAUGGAUAUUGUAUAUUAUUCCCAGGAAAUGAAUAGCUUCAGAGAUGAAAAAGGAAGCCAGUGUGAGUCAUGAUGUGCAGCAUUGUAAAAUUUC
Molecule: long non-coding RNA, 684 nt
Organism: Amphiprion ocellaris (clown anemonefish)
Lineage: Eukaryota; Metazoa; Chordata; Actinopteri; Pomacentridae
Source: Ensembl